GAAAGAUGAAAAGAACUUUGAAAAGAGAGUUAAACAGUACGUGAAAUUGUUGAAAGGGAAACGAUUGAAGCCAGUCGUACCUAUGGGUAAUCAGCCUUUUGGGUGUGAUUCUGUGGAGUGUGAGGAGCUUAAACACCUUCAUGUUUUGCAUAUUCGUACUCUUGGGUGUACUUGCCCGUGUGGUUGGUUAACAUCAAUUUUGGUGGUCAUAAAAUGACUGGAGGAAUGUAGCUUCGAUCUUGUAUUGAAGUGUUAUA
Molecule: ribosomal RNA, 257 nt
Filed under: uncultured Rhizophagus
Lineage: Eukaryota; Fungi; Glomeromycota; Glomeromycetes; Glomerales; Glomeraceae
Description: partial large subunit ribosomal RNA
Rfam family: Eukaryotic large subunit ribosomal RNA
Source: RNAcentral